UGGGGAAUUUUGGACAAUGGGCGCAAGCCUGAUCCAGCAAUGCCGCGUGCAGGAUGAAGGCCUUCGGGUUGUAAACUGCUUUUGUACAGAACGAAAAGUCUUGGGUUAAUACCCUGGGACCAUGACGGUACUGUAAGAAUAAGCACCGGCUAACUACGUGCCAGCAGCCGCGGUAAUACGUAGGGUGCAAGCGUUAAUCGGAAUUACUGGGCGUAAAGCGUGCGCAGGCGGUUAUGUAAGACAGAGGUGAAAUCCCCGGGCUCAACCUGGGAACGGCCUUUGUGACUGCAUAGCUAGAGUACGGUAGAGGAGGAUGGAAUUCCGCGUGUAGCAGUGAAAUGCGUAGAUAUGCGGAGGAACACCGAUGGCGAAGGCAAUCCCCUGGACCUGUACUGACGCUCAUGCACGAAAGCGUGGGGAGCAAACAGG
This 429-nucleotide ribosomal RNA is filed under the name Bacillota bacterium. RNAcentral describes it as "Firmicutes bacterium partial 16S ribosomal RNA". It matches the Rfam family "Bacterial small subunit ribosomal RNA", at positions 355 to 776 of the family's 1533-position model. The record is from RNAcentral. Lineage: Bacteria; Bacillati; Bacillota.